CGGCAUACUGGCCCCGUAACUUCGGGAGAAGGGGCGCCGCCGGGGGUGGAGGCACACGCUGCCCGAGCCCCUGGCGGCCGCAGCGAAACGGCCCAAGCGACUGUUUAUCAAAAACACAGGACUCUGCAAAGCCGCAAGGCGACGUAUAGGGUCUGACGCCUGCCCGGUGCCGGAAGGUCACGGGGAUCCGUCAGCCGCAAGGCGAAGCGGUGAACCCAAGCCCCGGUAAACGGCGGCCGUAACUAUAACGGUCCUAAGGUAGCGAAAUUCCUUGUCGGGUAAGUUCCGACCUGCACGAAUGGCGUAACGAUUUGGGCGCUGUCUCAACCAUGGACCCGGUGAAAUUGUAUUAUUCGUGAAGAUGCGAAUUACCUGCGGAAGGACGGAAAGACCCCGUGAACCUUCACUGCAGCUUGGCAUUGGCCGUUGGCACGGAGCGUAGAGGAUAGGCGGGAGCCGUGGAAGCGGGGGCGCAAGCCCCCGUGGAGGCGACCUUGGAAUACCGCCCCCUUCGUGCCGGCGGCCUAACCCCCGGCCGUCAUCCGGCGGGGGGACCGUGCCAGGCGGGUAGUUUGACUGGGGCGGUCGCCUCCCAAAACGUAACGGAGGCGCGCAAAGGUCCGCUCAGGACGGUCGGCAACCGUCCCGAGAGCGCAAGAGUGCAAGCGGGCUUGACUGCGAGGCAGACACGCCGAGCAGGGACGAAAGUCGGUUCUAGUGAUCCGGCGGCUCAGAGUGGAAUGGCCGUCGCUCAACGGAUAAAAGGUACUCCGGGGAUAACAGGCUGAUCUUGCCCAAGAGUCCACAUCGACGGCAAGGUUUGGCACCUCGAUGUCGGCUCAUCGCAUCCUGGGGCUGGAGUCGGUCCCAAGGGUAUGGCUGUUCGCCAUUCAAAGCGGUACGCGAGCUGGGUUCAGAACGUCGUGAGACAGUUCGGUCCCUAUCCUCCGCAGGCGCAAGGGAAUUGAGGAGAUCUGCCCCUAGUACGAGAGGACCGGGGUGGACGGACCUCUGGUGGAGCGGUCGUCGACCAACGGCGCCGCCGCCUGGCUACGUCCGGAACGGAUAACCGCUGAAAGCAUCUAAGUGGGAAGCCGCCUCCAAGAUGAGUUCCCUCUCCGGUAAGGCCCCUCGUAGACCACGAGGUUGAUAGGCCGCAGCUGCAAGCACGGCGACGUGUUCAGGCGGGCGGUACUAAUCGGCCGAGCUCUUCUCUUC
Molecule: ribosomal RNA, 1218 nt
Filed under: human gut metagenome
Description: bacterial LSU rRNA
Rfam family: Bacterial large subunit ribosomal RNA
Source: RNAcentral